Molecule: ribosomal RNA, 301 nt
Filed under: uncultured bacterium
Lineage: Bacteria
Description: partial 16S ribosomal RNA
Rfam family: Bacterial small subunit ribosomal RNA
Source: RNAcentral
CAGUAGCCGCGGUAAUACGAAGGGGGCUAGCGUUGCUCGGAAUGACUGGGCGUAAAGGGCGCGUAGGCGGUGGCCAAAGUCAGGCGUGAAAUUCCUGGGCUCAACCUGGGGGCUGCGCUUGAUACUUGGUUGCUUGAGUGGGGAAGAGGGUCGUUGAAUUCCCAGUGUAGAGGUGAAAUUCGUAGAUAUUGGGAAGAACACCGGUGGCGAAGGCGGCGACCUGGUCCUUGACUGACGCUGAGGCGCGAAAGCGUGGGGAGCAAACAGGAUUAGAUACCCCCGUAGUCCCUGUCUCUUAUAA